This 1948-nucleotide ribosomal RNA is filed under the name human gut metagenome. Its description in RNAcentral is "bacterial LSU rRNA". It matches the Rfam family "Bacterial large subunit ribosomal RNA", at positions 1 to 1977 of the family's 2925-position model. The record is from RNAcentral.
UUAAGCGACUAAGCGUACACGGUGGAUGCCCUGGCAGUCAGAGGCGAUGAAGGACGUGCUAAUCUGCGAUAAGCGUCGGUAAGGUGAUAUGAACCGUUAUAACCGGCGAUUUCCGAAUGGGGAAACCCAGUGUGAUUCGUCACACUAUCAUUAACUGAAUCCAUAGGUUAAUGAGGCGAACCGGGGGAACUGAAACAUCUAAGUACCCCGAGGAAAAGAAAUCAACCGAGAUUCCCCCAGUAGCGGCGAGCGAACGGGGAGCAGCCCAGAGCCUGAAUCAGUGUGUGUGUUAGUGGAAGCGUCUGGAAAGGCGCGCGAUACAGGGUGACAGCCCCGUACACAAAAAUGCACAUACUGUGAGCUCGAUGAGUAGGGCGGGACACGUGGUAUCCUGUCUGAAUAUGGGGGGACCAUCCUCCAAGGCUAAAUACUCCUGACUGACCGAUAGUGAACCAGUACCGUGAGGGAAAGGCGAAAAGAACCCCGGCGAGGGGAGUGAAAAAGAACCUGAAACCGUGUACGUACAAGCAGUGGGAGCACGCUUCGGCGUGUGACUGCGUACCUUUUGUAUAAUGGGUCAGCGACUUAUAUUCUGUAGCAAGGUUAACCGAAUAGGGGAGCCGAAGGGAAACCGAGUCUUAACUGGGCGUUAAGUUGCAGGGUAUAGACCCGAAACCCGGUGAUCUAGCCAUGGGCAGGUUGAAGGUUGGGUAACACUAACUGGAGGACCGAACCGACUAAUGUUGAAAAAUUAGCGGAUGACUUGUGGCUGGGGGUGAAAGGCCAAUCAAACCGGGAGAUAGCUGGUUCUCCCCGAAAGCUAUUUAGGUAGCGCCUCGUGAAUUCAUCUCCGGGGGUAGAGCACUGUUUCGGCAAGGGGGUCAUCCCGACUUACCAACCCGAUGCAAACUGCGAAUACCGGAGAAUGUUAUCACGGGAGACACACGGCGGGUGCUAACGUCCGUCGUGAAGAGGGAAACAACCCAGACCGCCAGCUAAGGUCCCAAAGUCAUGGUUAAGUGGGAAACGAUGUGGGAAGGCCCAGACAGCCAGGAUGUUGGCUUAGAAGCAGCCAUCAUUUAAAGAAAGCGUAAUAGCUCACUGGUCGAGUCGGCCUGCGCGGAAGAUGUAACGGGGCUAAACCAUGCACCGAAGCUGCGGCAGCGACACUAUGUGUUGUUGGGUAGGGGAGCGUUCUGUAAGCCUGUGAAGGUGUACUGUGAGGUAUGCUGGAGGUAUCAGAAGUGCGAAUGCUGACAUAAGUAACGAUAAAGCGGGUGAAAAGCCCGCUCGCCGGAAGACCAAGGGUUCCUGUCCAACGUUAAUCGGGGCAGGGUGAGUCGACCCCUAAGGCGAGGCCGAAAGGCGUAGUCGAUGGGAAACAGGUUAAUAUUCCUGUACUUGGUGUUACUGCGAAGGGGGGACGGAGAAGGCUAUGUUGGCCGGGCGACGGUUGUCCCGGUUUAAGCGUGUAGGCUGGUUUUCCAGGCAAAUCCGGAAAAUCAAGGCUGAGGCGUGAUGACGAGGCACUACGGUGCUGAAGCAACAAAUGCCCUGCUUCCAGGAAAAGCCUCUAAGCAUCAGGUAACAUCAAAUCGUACCCCAAACCGACACAGGUGGUCAGGUAGAGAAUACCAAGGCGCUUGAGAGAACUCGGGUGAAGGAACUAGGCAAAAUGGUGCCGUAACUUCGGGAGAAGGCACGCUGAUAUGUAGGUGAAGUCCCUCGCGGAUGGAGCUGAAAUCAGUCGAAGAUACCAGCUGGCUGCAACUGUUUAUUAAAAACACAGCACUGUGCAAACACGAAAGUGGACGUAUACGGUGUGACGCCUGCCCGGUGCCGGAAGGUUAAUUGAUGGGGUUAGCGCAAGCGAAGCUCUUGAUCGAAGCCCCGGUAAACGGCGGCCGUAACUAUAACGGUCCUAAGGUAGCGAAAUUCCUUGUCGGGU